This 253-nucleotide ribosomal RNA is filed under the name uncultured bacterium. RNAcentral's name for it is "partial 16S ribosomal RNA". It matches the Rfam family "Bacterial small subunit ribosomal RNA", at positions 524 to 776 of the family's 1533-position model. The record is from RNAcentral.
UACGUAGGGGGCAAGCGUUGUCCGGAAUCAUUGGGCGUAAAGAGCGUGUAGGCGGCUUUACAGGUCCGCUGUGAAAACUCGAGGCUCAACCUCGAGCUGUCGGUGGAAACCGUAAGGCUAGAGUCCGGAAGAGGAGAGUGGAAUUCCCGGUGUAGCGGUGAAAUGCGCAGAUAUCGGGAAGAACACCCGUGGCGAAGGCGGCUCUCUGGGACGGUACUGACGCUGAGACGCGAAAGCGUGGGGAGCGAACAGG